GGAUGUGAUCAUACCAGCACUAAAGCACCGGAUCCCAUCAGAACUUCGAAGUUAAGCGUGCUUGGGCGAGAGUAGUACUAGGAUGGGUGACCUCCUGGGAAGUCCUCGUGUUGCAUCCC
Molecule: ribosomal RNA, 119 nt
Filed under: Aegilops tauschii subsp. strangulata
Lineage: Eukaryota; Viridiplantae; Streptophyta; Magnoliopsida; Poales; Poaceae
Source: RNAcentral